UGGGGAAUAUUGCACAACGGGCGAAAGCCUGAUGCAGCAACGCCGCGUGAGUGAUGAAGGUCUUCGGAUUGUAAAGCUCUGUCUUUUGGGACGAUAAUGACGGUACCAAAGGAGGAAGCCACGGCUAACUACGUGCCAGCAGCCGCGGUAAUACGUAGGUGGCGAGCGUUGUCCGGAUUUACUGGGCGUAAAGGGUGCGUAGGCGGAUGUUUAAGUGAGAUGUGAAAUACCCGGGCUUAACUUGGGUGCUGCAUUUCAAACUGGAUAUCUAGAGUGCAGGAGAGGAGAAUGGAAUUCCUAGUGUAGCGGUGAAACGCGUAGAGAUUAGGAAGAACACCAGUGGCGAAGGCGAUUCUCUGGACUGUAACUGACGCUGAGGCACGAAAGCGUGGGUAGCAAACAGGAUUAGAUACCCUGGUAGUCUACGCCGUAAACGAUGAGUACUAGGUGUAGGAGGUAUCGACCCCUUCUGUGCCGCAGUAAACACAUUAAGUACUCCGCCUGGGAAGUACGAUCGCAAGAUUAAAAC
Molecule: ribosomal RNA, 529 nt
Filed under: uncultured bacterium
Lineage: Bacteria
Description: partial 16S ribosomal RNA
Rfam family: Bacterial small subunit ribosomal RNA
Source: RNAcentral